Molecule: ribosomal RNA, 253 nt
Filed under: uncultured bacterium
Lineage: Bacteria
Description: partial 16S ribosomal RNA
Rfam family: Bacterial small subunit ribosomal RNA
Source: RNAcentral
GACGGAAGGUGCAAGCGUUGCUCGGAAUCACUGGGCGUAAAGGGUGCGUAGGCGGCCUGGUAAGUCUGGCGUGAAAGCCCAGGGCUCAGCCCUGGAAGUGCGCUAGAAACUGCGAGGCUCGAGUGCCGGAGGGGAGAGUGGAAUUCCUGGUGUAGAGGUGGAAUUCGUAGAUAUUAGGAAGAACACCAGUGGCGAAGGCGGCUCACUGGUCCGGUACUGACGCUGAUGUGCGAAAGCGUGGGGAGCAAACAGG